GAUGAACGCUGGCGGCGUGCCUAAUACAUGCAAGUCGAGCGAACAGACGAGGAGCUUGCUCCUCUGACGUUAGCGGCGGACGGGUGAGUAACACGUGGAUAACCUACCUAUAAGACUGGGAUAACUUCGGGAAACCGGAGCUAAUACCGGAUAAUAUAUUGAACCGCAUGGUUCAAUAGUGAAAGACGGUUUUGCUGUCACUUAUAGAUGGAUCCGCGCCGCAUUAGCUAGUUGGUAAGGUAACGGCUUACCAAGGCAACGAUGCGUAGCCGACCUGAGAGGGUGGUCGGCCACACUGGAACUGAGACACGGUCCAGACUCCUACGGGAGGCAGCAGUAGGGAAUCUUCCGCAAUGGGCGAAUGCCUGACGGAGCAACGCCGCGGGAGUGAUGAAGGUCUUCGGAUCGUAAAACUCUGUUAUUAGGGAAGAACAAAUGUGUAAGUAACUAUGCACGUCUUGACGGUACCUAAUCAGAAAGCCACGGCUAACUACGUG
This 497-nucleotide ribosomal RNA is filed under the name uncultured bacterium. Its description in RNAcentral is "partial 16S ribosomal RNA". It matches the Rfam family "Bacterial small subunit ribosomal RNA", at positions 28 to 507 of the family's 1533-position model. The record is from RNAcentral.